RNAcentral lists this ribosomal RNA (253 nucleotides) under uncultured bacterium. Its description in RNAcentral is "partial 16S ribosomal RNA". It matches the Rfam family "Bacterial small subunit ribosomal RNA", at positions 524 to 776 of the family's 1533-position model. The record is from RNAcentral.
UACGUAGGUGGCAAGCGUUGUCCGGAUUUACUGGGCGUAAAGAGCGCGCAGGCGGUCGUUCAAGUCGCGUGUGAAAGCCCCCGGCUCAACUGGGGAGGGUCACGCGAUACUGAUCGACUCGAAGGCAGGAGAGGGUAGUGGAAUUCCCGGUGUAGUGGUGAAAUGCGUAGAUAUCGGGAGGAACACCGGUGGCGAAGGCGGCUUGCUGGGCCUUACCUGACGCUGAGGAGCGAAAGCGUGGGGAGCGAACAGG